Molecule: unclassified non-coding RNA, 599 nt
Filed under: Hevea brasiliensis (rubber tree)
Lineage: Eukaryota; Viridiplantae; Streptophyta; Magnoliopsida; Malpighiales; Euphorbiaceae
Source: RNAcentral
AGGUAGCUCAUCGAACUCAACAAAUGGAAGUUCAGUGCAAAAUGCUCCCAACUCAAAGUGGGGAUCUAGAAGAAAACCACAAUACUAUGUCAAGGAUGGUAAGAAUUAUAGUUACAAAGUUGCAGGGUCAGUUGCGGUUGCCAAUUCUGAUGAGGCAUCUUUAGUAACUCAAGCUCAGAAAGAACUCAUUUAUGGACUUGGACGCGGAGGCAACUUACCUCUCGGGGCAGUAAAAAAGCUGACAGAAUCUGAGCAGGAUAGCCAACCCGAUGUUUCUGAAGUAGAUCCAAGAGAUAAUGUACGGAAGUCUUGGGGCAGAGGAAGGAGGGAAAGGGAAAGUGGAACAGCUGCAGGCAUGCCUGAAGGGCAAGGUAAACAACCAAUUGUGGCUGAGGUUUCAGAGAGGGGAGGAAGAGGUGGCAACCGAGGCCGUGGAAGGAGAGGAGGGGGCGACCAUCACAGGAAGGAUAGAGCCAUGAAAAAGCAUUUUGCUGGAUUGUCUGGUUUCUAAGUCAAUAAGUCCGAUCAACCAAAUACAGAUUAAAAUGGAUCUGUUUGUUUUAUCGAAGACAACUUGCCGAGUGAUUGCACAGUACCGA